GACGAACGCUGGCGGCGUGCCUAAUACAUGCAAGUCGAGCGGAUUCAUUCCUUCGGGAAUGGGUUAGCGGCGGACGGGUGAGUAACACGUAGGCAACCUGCCUUCAAGACCGGGAUAACAUGCGGAAACGGAUGCUAAGACCGGAUACACAGUUUGAUCGCAUGAUCGAGCUGGGAAACACGGUGCAAGCUGUGGCUUGGAGAUGGGCCUGCGGCGCAUUAGCUAGUUGGUGGGGUAAAGGCUCACCAAGGCGACGAUGCGUAGCCGACCUGAGAGGGUGAACGGCCACACUGGGACUGAGACACGGCCCAGACUCCUACGGGUGGCUG
RNAcentral lists this ribosomal RNA (329 nucleotides) under uncultured Bacillota bacterium. RNAcentral's name for it is "bacterial SSU rRNA". It matches the Rfam family "Bacterial small subunit ribosomal RNA", at positions 28 to 351 of the family's 1533-position model. Lineage: Bacteria; Bacillati; Bacillota. The record is from RNAcentral.